RNAcentral lists this ribosomal RNA (253 nucleotides) under uncultured bacterium. RNAcentral's name for it is "partial 16S ribosomal RNA". It matches the Rfam family "Bacterial small subunit ribosomal RNA", at positions 524 to 776 of the family's 1533-position model. The record is from RNAcentral.
CACGUAGGGGGCGAGCGUUGUUCGGAAUUAUUGGGCGUAAAGGGCGCGCAGGCGGCCCGAUAAGUCUGGUGUUUAAGGCCACAGCUUAACUGUGGUAAUGCGCUGGAAACUGUCGGGCUUGAGUGCAGGAGGGGGAGCUGGAAUUCCAGGUGUAGGGGUGAAAUCUGUAGAGAUCUGGAAGAACACCGGUGGCGAAGGCGAGCUCCUGGCCAUGGACUGACGCUGAGGCGCGAAAGCGUGGGGAGCAAACAGG